UCCGUUUGAAGGGAACCCGCCAUUUUCCUCCUCUCCCUGCUUUUCCUUUUCAUCUGCUUCCAACUGACUGACAAGUGACAUCCGAUCAAUUUACUCUCGUCCUCUUGGAUCCCAACGGCCGUAGGCAGCGGCUAGAGGUCGGCCGGCCGGCGAACUGACUAUCGAGACUCCGUCGGAGAGAGGCGAUGGUUGUCCGGAAGGUUGGGCGCUACGAGAUCGGGCGCACGAUCGGCGAAGGCACCUUCGCCAAGGUGAAGUUCGCGCAGAACACCGAGACAGGCGAGAGCGUAGCCAUGAAGAUCCUCGAUCGCGCCACCAUACUCAAGCAUAAGAUGGUCGAUCAGAUUAAGCGGGAGAUUUCUAUUAUGAAACUUGUCAGGCACCCUUAUGUUGUACGUCUGCACGAGGUUUUGGCCAGUCGCACAAAGAUCUAUAUAAUUUUGGAAUUCAUUACGGGCGGCGAAUUAUUUGAUAAAAUAGUCCGUCAGGGGCGACUUAGUGAAAAUGAAUCGAGGAGAUAUUUUCAGCAGCUUAUUGAUGGGGUGGAUUAUUGCCAUAGUAAGGGAGUCUAUCAUAGGGAUUUGAAGCCUGAAAAUCUUCUACUCGAUUCUCAAGGGAAUCUGAAAAUUUCUGACUUUGGCCUCAGUGCUUUGCCACAACAUGGUGCUGAUCUCCUUCAUACCACUUGUGGAACUCCAAAUUAUGUAGCCCCUGAGGUACUCAGCCACAAAGGUUAUCAUGGUUCUGUGGCAGAUGUGUGGUCUUGUGGAGUGAUCCUUUAUGUAUUACUGGCUGGUUAUCUUCCAUUUGAUGAGAUUGAUCUUUCUACUCUAUAUGGCAAAAUUGAAAAGGCAGAAUUUUCUUGUCCAUCCUGGUUCCCUGUUGGGGCAAAAGCAUUAAUAUGCAAAAUUUUGGACCCAAACCCUGAUACUCGCAUUAGGAUUGAAGAUAUCAGGAACGAUGAAUGGUUUGCAAGAAAUUAUACACCAGUAAAGAACUUUGAAUGCGAGGAUGUUAAUCUGGAUGAUGUUUUUGCUGCUUUUACUGAUCCUGAGGUUCAAGACUUUUCUGAGCAACCGACCAAUAAAAAUGCAGGUCCUCUAGUUCUGAAUGCAUUUGACUUGAUUAUUCUCUCACAGGGACUAAAUCUCUCAACUUUGUUUGAUAAGAGUCAGGAUGACGUGAUGCAUCAAACCCGCUUUGUGACCCAGAAACCUCCACAAGUUGUUCUUUCAAGCAUGGAAAUUGUGGCACAGUCAAUGAGUUUCAAGACACAUAUCCGUAAUUUCAAGAUGAGAAUUGAAGGACUUUCUGCUAAUAAAUUGUGGCAGUUUUCUGUGAUUUUGGAGGUAUUUGAAGUUGCUCCUACAUUUUUCAUGGUAGAUGUUCAGAAAGCUGCAGGCGACACUGCUGAAUACCACAAGUUCUAUAAGAAUUUCUGCAGCAACUUAGAAGAUAUUAUAUGGAAACCACCCGAAGAAGGAAACGGCCAGAGAUUUUGGUGGCAGUAAAAAAUUCACAGUGAAAGAUACUACAUUCUCUCUUACCCGGGUGUAGUAUUUCCCAUAUACUCAAUGUACCAUGGACUUCGCUGUAUAUUUUUCUGGCGUUUGAUGUGCCUGUUGUGGUAGAAGGGUACAGCUUACUAUUGAGCAACCUAUUUUUGAAUUUACUGUCAAGAGCAUCACGCAAAUGGUUCUGUUCUUGGCUUUAGCUAGAUCUUGUGAAUUACGACAUGUUGUAACAUGGUAUUAUGAUUCCUCAGCAGUAUUAGGUUGUAUCUUAUCACAGAAUGGUUUGCCAAAUUUUAUGUACAUUUCUAUAUUGAAGUUUAUUUUUUCCGACAUGCUAAUUCUUAAUUUAAAUGGAAUGUGUAUUCAGUUAGCAAA
Nymphaea colorata (pocket water lily) is the source of this 1889-nucleotide RNA transcript. It is a transcript of the gene named CBL-interacting serine/threonine-protein kinase 8-like, with no coding region annotated. The transcript has 15 exons. Lineage: Eukaryota; Viridiplantae; Streptophyta; Magnoliopsida; Nymphaeales; Nymphaeaceae. The record is from RefSeq and is a predicted model, not a curated record.